Long non-coding RNA from Strigops habroptila (Kakapo), 751 nucleotides. RefSeq lists it as uncharacterized. The transcript is spliced from 3 exons. Lineage: Eukaryota; Metazoa; Chordata; Aves; Psittaciformes; Psittacidae. The record is from RefSeq and is a predicted model, not a curated record.
UCGAUCUACAGAAUUCAAAGACAUAUGCUUGCAUUUUUAUGUAAAAUCUGAUAACGCACUAUGGAUGUUCAAAAUUACAAACUGUUUAUGGCAGAAUGGGAAAGCUGGUGCAGUGCUGAAACCAGGACAGAUGUUUAGGGCCAAGAGCAGUGUAUGAGUCCCCCGCCCAGAGCGUGAGCACACGUGUAACCACUAGUGAACAUCAAUAUGGACUGUCUUGUGAGGAGGAUGAAGUCAAGGGGCAACACCUAGACAAAAGGCCAUCAGUACAGAGGAAAAGCACCUGGACGGAGUGAGAUCGGGGGGCCAGCUCCUGGGCCAGGACCUGGAAGCCUGUGGAAACAUGUUGGUGUUUCUGUGUAUGCCAAUGAAGACACUUGCCUCUCUCCUUGUUAGCCUUUGUAUGCAUAUGUGUUUGUACGUAUUGGCACCUUUGGAAUACAUGCUUAGCUGUGCUGUCAGCUGGACAUACAAAUAGGAGCAACACCAGAAAUCCCUUUAAUCUUAGAGACUUCUAGAUUGCACUUUCCUUUAAGAGGACUGGAAAAUUGUUCAGUUUUUCAAAUACAUACCUCCUUCUCUUCUCACAGAUCCAUGCCACUACCCCCACUUACUCUAGCCUGCAGAGCCAGAUAAGCACACUCUUACUUAGUAGCACUGACACAGAAAUUACAGGAUGGAGUUAUACUUUACGCACAGGAUAAAACAAGAUAAUCCAAGAGAAAUUCCUGAUUUGAUAAAUAUAUGAGUA